RNAcentral lists this transfer RNA (74 nucleotides) under Oreochromis esculentus (Singida tilapia). RNAcentral's name for it is "tRNA-Lys". It matches the Rfam family "tRNA". Rfam says of the family: Transfer RNA (tRNA) molecules are approximately 80 nucleotides in length. Their secondary structure includes four short double-helical elements and three loops (D, anti-codon, and T loops). The record is from RNAcentral. Lineage: Eukaryota; Metazoa; Chordata; Actinopteri; Cichliformes; Cichlidae.
CACUAAGAAGCUAAAUAGGGAAUAGCGUUAGCCUUUUAAGCUAAAGAUUGGUGGCCCCCGCCCACCCCUAGUGA